Molecule: long non-coding RNA, 217 nt
Filed under: Salvia miltiorrhiza (redroot sage)
Lineage: Eukaryota; Viridiplantae; Streptophyta; Magnoliopsida; Lamiales; Lamiaceae
Description: long non-coding RNA (SMIL_LNC012344)
Source: RNAcentral
ACCUUGUGCUUGUUGGUUUUUUGCAGCAGUCCAUAACCGAGUGACGGUUCGACGGCAAAUGGCAAACUUGAUGGCGGCAGCCUGCAUUCUGCCCCUUUUUGGCUUCCCACCAUGGCUGUCUUCAAGCAGAAACUGCACUAUGGAGUUUCUCUCUCCCGUUGUUAGAUCCUUGCGCCGCAUUUUUCCUUUUUUUCCUAGUGUUUUUUGGGCAAUUUGU